RNAcentral lists this ribosomal RNA (1352 nucleotides) under uncultured bacterium. Its description in RNAcentral is "bacterial SSU rRNA". It matches the Rfam family "Bacterial small subunit ribosomal RNA", at positions 28 to 1381 of the family's 1533-position model. The record is from RNAcentral.
ACUGAACGCUGGCGGCAUGCCUUACACAUGCAAGUCGAACGGCAGCACGGAGCUUGCUCUGGUGGCGAGUGGCGAACGGGUGAGUAAUAUAUCGGAACGUACCCUAGAGUGGGGGAUAACGUAGCGAAAGUUACGCUAAUACCGCAUACGAUCUAAGGAUGAAAGUGGGGGAUCGCAAGACCUCAUGCUCGUGGAGCGGCCGAUAUCUGAUUAGCUAGUUGGUAGGGUAAAAGCCUACCAAGGCAUCGAUCAGUAGCUGGUCUGAGAGGACGACCAGCCACACUGGAACUGAGACACGGUCCAGACUCCUACGGGAGGCAGCAGUGGGGAAUUUUGGACAAUGGGCGAAAGCCUGAUCCAGCAAUGCCGCGUGAGUGAAGAAGGCCUUCGGGUUGUAAAGCUCUUUUGUCAGGGAAGAAACGGUGAAAGCUAAUAUCUUUUGCUAAUGACGGUACCUGAAGAAUAAGCACCGGCUAACUACGUGCCAGCAGCCGCGGUAAUACGUAGGGUGCAAGCGUUAAUCGGAAUUACUGGGCGUAAAGCGUGCGCAGGCGGUUUUGUAAGUCUGAUGUGAAAUCCCCGGGCUCAACCUGGGAAUUGCAUUGGAGACUGCAAGGCUAGAAUCUGGCAGAGGGGGGUAGAAUUCCACGUGUAGCAGUGAAAUGCGUAGAUAUGUGGAGGAACACCGAUGGCGAAGGCAGCCCCCUGGGUCAAGAUUGACGCUCAUGCACGAAAGCGUGGGGAGCAAACAGGAUUAGAUACCCUGGUAGUCCACGCCCUAAACGAUGUCUACUAGUUGUCGGGUCUUAAUUGACUUGGUAACGCAGCUAACGCGUGAAGUAGACCGCCUGGGGAGUACGGUCGCAAGAUUAAAACUCAAAGGAAUUGACGGGGACCCGCACAAGCGGUGGAUGAUGUGGAUUAAUUCGAUGCAACGCGAAAAACCUUACCUACCCUUGACAUGGCUGGAAUCCUUGAGAGAUCAGGGAGUGCUCGAAAGAGAACCAGUACACAGGUGCUGCAUGGCUGUCGUCAGCUCGUGUCGUGAGAUGUUGGGUUAAGUCCCGCAACGAGCGCAACCCUUGUCAUUAGUUGCUACGAAAGGGCACUCUAAUGAGACUGCCGGUGACAAACCGGAGGAAGGUGGGGAUGACGUCAAGUCCUCAUGGCCCUUAUGGGUAGGGCUUCACACGUCAUACAAUGGUACAUACAGAGCGCCGCCAACCCGCGAGGGGGAGCUAAUCGCAGAAAGUGUAUCGUAGUCCGGAUUGUAGUCUGCAACUCGACUGCAUGAAGUUGGAAUCGCUAGUAAUCGCGGAUCAGCAUGUCGCGGUGAAUACGUUCCCGGGUCU